This 497-nucleotide ribosomal RNA is filed under the name uncultured bacterium. Its description in RNAcentral is "partial 16S ribosomal RNA". It matches the Rfam family "Bacterial small subunit ribosomal RNA", at positions 28 to 507 of the family's 1533-position model. The record is from RNAcentral.
GAUGAACGCUGGCGGCGUGCCUAAUACAUGCAAGUCGAGCGAACGGACGAGAAGCUUGCUUCUCUGAUGUUAGCGGCGGACGGGUGAGUAACACGUGGAUAACCUACCUAUAAGACUGGGAUAACUUCGGGAGACCGGAGCUAAUACCGGAUAAUAUUUUGAACCGCAUGGUUCAAUAGUGAAAGACGGUCUUGCUGUCACUUAUAGAUGGAUCCGCGCUGCAUUAGCUAGUUGGUAAGGUAACGGCUUACCAAGGCAACGAUGCAUAGCCGACCUGAGAGGGUGAUCGGCCACACUGGAACUGAGACACGGUCCAGACUCCUACGGGAGGCAGCAGUAGGGAAUCUUCUGCAAUGGGCGAAAGCCUGACGGAGCAACGCCGCGUGAGUGAUGAAGGUCUUCGGAUCGUAAAACUCUGUUAUUAGGGAAGAACAAAUGUGUAAGUAACUGUGCACAUCUUGACGGUACCUAAUCAGAAAGCCACGGCUAACUACGUG